Long non-coding RNA from Pogoniulus pusillus (Red-fronted tinkerbird), 423 nucleotides. RefSeq lists it as uncharacterized. The record is from RefSeq and is a predicted model, not a curated record. The transcript has 4 exons. NCBI's taxonomy places the organism in Eukaryota, Metazoa, Chordata, Aves, Piciformes, Lybiidae.
CCUUGGGCUCAACCCUGGGGCUUCAGCAGAUAAGACUGCUGCAUCUGGGUGAUGGCUCCCAGCUUUUGGUCCUGCAGCUUUCAGGGAGGAGGCUGUUGUAAAAGAUGCAUCAGCAAUAAUUUCUGGAUGGCUGAGGCUGGCAAUGGUAAUUAGCAUCGUGGACCUCUUGCACAGGCAGUGUGUUGGACUUGUGGAGCCAGCAGCUUCUUAAGGGCUUUUUCCCUGCUUCCACCACCUGCUACUGAAAUGACACAGGAGUCAUCAUCAAAAGGAGCAACGGCUGCCAGGUUUUGAGACGCUGGCAACUUGCGAAAGCAGCAAGGGGACAAACGCCAAUAGUCACACACCCGCCCUUGCUCAGAGAGCAGAGCCGGGCUUUGUGGUUCUUUGCUUUUGUUUUGAAAGUAAAAUGAACGUGUUUAC